Molecule: ribosomal RNA, 250 nt
Filed under: uncultured Candidatus Woesearchaeota archaeon
Lineage: Archaea; Nanobdellati; Candidatus Woesearchaeota
Description: partial 16S ribosomal RNA
Rfam family: Archaeal small subunit ribosomal RNA
Source: RNAcentral
UACCGGCGCCACAAGUGGAGAUCAUGUUUACUGGGUCUAAAGUGUUCGUAGCACGUUGUAUAAGUUUCUUGUGAAAGUUCUUUAGCUUAACUAAGAAUUUGCAAGAAAUACUGUACGACUUGAGACCGGAAGAGGUAAGAAGUAUUAAUUGGGAAGCGGUAAAAUGUUAUAAUCCUUUUAAGACUAACUAAGGCGAAGGCAUCUUACUUGGACGGAUCUGACUGUGAGGAACGAGAGCUGGGGGAGCGAA